CGCCGCCUCCAUCCGGGCGCCGCGGGACCUUUCACCCGCCGCGCCGCGGCCCGGAAGCGCCGGGGUGGCGAGCGGAGCAGCGGCACCGGGAGCGACUGGGCCGGCGGCGAUAUAUGAAGCAACCUAUACAUCUUCACACUUAGGUCUUCACGCUUCCCGUUCUACCUUCUGUAUUAAGGAUGCACGCACCUCCAAGUUACUUAGUAUUUUUAUCAUUUGAAAAUAGUGUUGUUACCUCUUUCUUUCUGGGUUGAGAUAAAGCAUGAUACAAAAAAAAAAAAAAAAAAAAGAGGAGAGAGAGAGAGAACAUGGAGUGAGCACAGAAGAAGCCUCCAAGGAAGAGAAAAGCAAAGAACAGAACAAGCCACGAGCAGGGUUACAGAGGCUCCUGGGUGAUGGGAAGCCAGAAGCUAUGUCAAAGAGAAACAGAUAACCAUUCCCUGCUUAAUUAUCAAAUAUGCUUAACUGUAAUAUUCCUGCCCAUCCCACUCACAAAUAAAGAGAGUAUAAUCAGAACUGCA
Molecule: long non-coding RNA, 521 nt
Organism: Tyto alba (common barn owl)
Lineage: Eukaryota; Metazoa; Chordata; Aves; Strigiformes; Tytonidae
Exons: 2
Source: RefSeq, a predicted model, not a curated record